This is a non-coding RNA of Desmophyllum pertusum, 75 nucleotides long. The record is from the annotation of a GenBank genome assembly. Lineage: Eukaryota; Metazoa; Cnidaria; Anthozoa; Scleractinia; Caryophylliidae.
GAUUGUGGUGGCCUAAUGGUUAGCGUGUUGGACUUUGAAUCGAGCAGUUCCUGGUUCAAGCCCUGGCCGGGGUCA